This is a long non-coding RNA of Varanus komodoensis (Komodo dragon), 549 nucleotides long. RefSeq lists it as uncharacterized. The record is from RefSeq and is a predicted model, not a curated record. The transcript has 3 exons. NCBI's taxonomy places the organism in Eukaryota, Metazoa, Chordata, Lepidosauria, Squamata, Varanidae.
GCAGGUAAACAAGCAGGUUACACAAGUGAAGGAGAGGAGUGACUCUGGCAGACUUUUGUCUCUCGGUCUCCGCUAUGACAUGUGUCAUUGGAAAGAAAAUGGAAUGAGUCUGCCUUAAGCACCUGAACUCUGAGGUUGAUGGGCGUCCUAUGCAUGGUGAAGGAGUGACAAAAGAGGUCUUGGCCUCUUUCCACUCUACUAAUCAGCCAGACUGUUUGCCAUCUACUUGCAGCAUUUUGGAUGGAAAGGGAGGUGCAGCAGGUCAUAUCCAGACAGAUCCAGGUUUCUCCCCUCCCUGCUCUCCCAGGCUCUCUCACCAUUCUCCAGCAUUGCCCAUGCCAUAACAAAACAAAAACAAGCUAACAGCACUUGAUUUUUGUGCUAUGUACCUGCUGAAGAGGCCCAUUUAGCUCUGCUCAGUCACAAGUGAAACUGCUUACCUCCAGAUGGACACUUAUUCGCAAGUAUUUUUCAACUAGUUUGACCUUAUUUCUCAGAAACCAGACAUUCUCCAGGGCAGGUUGUGGCUAGUAAAUCAACUGUAGUGUU